This 344-nucleotide ribosomal RNA is filed under the name Cronobacter sakazakii. RNAcentral describes it as "partial 23S ribosomal RNA". It matches the Rfam family "Bacterial large subunit ribosomal RNA", at positions 849 to 1191 of the family's 2925-position model. RNAcentral also lists the same sequence under 1 other name. The record is from RNAcentral. Lineage: Bacteria; Pseudomonadati; Pseudomonadota; Gammaproteobacteria; Enterobacterales; Enterobacteriaceae.
CUGGUUCUCCCCGAAAGCUAUUUAGGUAGCGCCUCGUGAAUUCAUCUCCGGGGGUAGAGCACUGUUUCGGCUAGGGGGCCAUCCCGGCUUACCAACCCGAUGCAAACUGCGAAUACCGGAGAAUGUUAUCACGGGAGACACACGGCGGGUGCUAACGUCCGUCGUGAAGAGGGAAACAACCCAGACCGCCAGCUAAGGUCCCAAAGUCAUGGUUAAGUGGGAAACGAUGUGGGAAGGCCCAGACAGCCAGGAUGUUGGCUUAGAAGCAGCCAUCAUUUAAAGAAAGCGUAAUAGCUCACUGGUCGAGUCGGCCUGCGCGGAAGAUGUAACGGGGCUAAACCAUG